CUGGCAGCUUUGUCAGGCUCUUUGCAUCUUUAGCUUUGCUCCUAAAGCCUGGUAUGUUCUGGGUUAUCUGGGGUAUCAGCUGCACUUUGCCAGUGAAAGCAUGUUCUAGAUUCUUUGGAGGACUUUAUUUGCAAAGACCCUGAGAUCCAUCAUCAAAUGGCUGUAAGGAAAAUGCCUUUCAUCAUUCAGGUUAAAGAACAUCACAAAGCCUUGGAGACAACACUUCACUCAGGAAUUAAAUUGCAGGAGUCAUCUGGUGUCAAAUAAGUUUCAUUUAAUAGGUUACUCAAAUAAAGUUUCUGUAGAAAUCAAUAUCACUUUCUCCUGCAAUUGACAGCUCAAGACACUCAAAAUGGCAUUUUUCACAUAAGGUUUAUUUAAUUUUAGGAGGAAGAAUCCCUCCUAUACUUUUUACUUGGCCUACGCAACUCUGCAAGGUUGUCAGCCUGCAGAGUUGGAAACCUGCCCUGCACUUACCCAGGGGGACAGUGUGAGGUCACUAACAGGGAUUUGCCAGUCUCAGGUGCAGCAAGGAUGCCAUUGUCAAAGGGCUGUAUCUGAAGUGUCUUUACAGCUCACUGAAGGAAACAGGGACAAGUAAUUUUGUUUCUUCUUGCAGGUGAGCUUGACAGGACAAAACGCCUCAUUAUAUAUAUCUUAGUAGAACUGGACUUUCUGUAGAGAUAGAGGUCUGUCGGCUGUGAAGACUGGGGGCUUCAACAGCAGUGCUUCUGGGUCCAGGAAAGUCUCUCACAAGACUUUGAUCUAGGAUGGCACUUCAUUCCUGCAGACCUGUGACAAGUCAUGGCAGUGUCCCCUGAGUCGAGCUCACAGCAUGCUCAGGGGCUGCCUCCUCUGCAGUGUCCUGUGUUACCUCCUCAGUGGCCCAAGUGCAGGACAUACCUAUGAGUCAGCAGUAAAGCACACACCAAGUGUUCCCAUGCCCCAGUUUCCCAGGAAUGGAUGUGAAUGCAGCUGUUGGGAGAGUCGGUGCCCAUCUGCCUGGGUCGAAUGCUGCACUGGGAGCAACACUGCUGUUGCCUGUGGGGCAGAGCCAGGAUGUGAGUGAACACUUCAGAAUCAGGCUGGGGUGUGCAAGUUCAAGCACAGCUGAUGGUGCCAGGAAGUUCUGUGCUAAUGAAUGGCUACAAAGUUCUCUGCAAGCCCUUCAGAUGAAACACCCACAGGAGCACAGCGGAGGGUGCAGUCACCUCUCAAAGGACGCUGUGUGCUGCCAGCCAGGACCCGAAGGCUUUGCUGUGCUGGAUUCAGAUCAGAUACAGAGCUAUGGGUAUUUCUCCUGGGGAUGGGGCAAGGUUUUGCCUUCAGUCCUGGAAGUUGUGGGUCUAGCACUCAAUGGAGCCACACCAACGUCCCGGUCCCUGUCUCCGGGACGCAGAUGCAUUUACUUGGCACAAACCCUUCACAGCAUCAGUACAGGAGGAGAAGCCUCUGAUCUGACUCAACUCAGCCUCCAAGUCCCUGUCUGCAGUACACAUCUGCUGCUGAAUCUGGCACUGGAGCUGCUCAGUGUCCCUUGGCCUCCCUCCAUCCACGCAGCCGACAGCGCCCUGCUCCUCAGGCAGGACUCGCUUGCAAUCCCCUCUCACUCUGGAGCCCAGAAGUGAAGCAGAAGGUAGGAAAGCCAGGCUGGGGUCUGUCUCACUUUGGACCUUUUGCUCUGCCUGGAGGUGGUGGAAUCCAUGCCCAGCUCGGUCUGAGGCAAGAGCAGAUGCCUUUGUGACAGCCUCAGCAGGUGUCCUGAGCAAGCUGGGAGCAGUUUCUGUGUGGCAGCCCUAUCAGGGCUGUGGCAGUUUUGUUCCUGUCCCGAUGGGUUGCUCUGGUGAGAUGCCACAGCAUGGUGGGACAUGCUGGUUGCCAAGGACAGGGAUGUGCUGUGACAGAGAUGUCUCCUCAACUCCCCCAAAUUUGAAAGUGGUGCUUUAUUAACUAAGGAGAGCAAUAAAGUGCACAGAGUCGUUGUUCUGAGCA
Long non-coding RNA from Zonotrichia albicollis (white-throated sparrow), 1992 nucleotides. The record is from Ensembl. Lineage: Eukaryota; Metazoa; Chordata; Aves; Passeriformes; Passerellidae.